UACGUAGGGUGCAAGCGUUGUCCGGAAUUAUUGGGCGUAAAGAGCUCGUAGGCGGUGUGUCGCGUCGGCUGUGAAAACCUGGGGCUCAACCCUGGGCUUGCAGCUGAUACGGGCAGACUGGAGUUCGGCAGGGGAGACUGGAAUUCCUGGUGUAGCGGUGAAAUGCGCAGAUAUCAGGAGGAAAACCGGUGGCGAAGGCGGGUCUCUGGGCCGAUACUGACGCUGAGGAGCGAAAGCGUGGGGAGCGAACAGG
RNAcentral lists this ribosomal RNA (253 nucleotides) under uncultured bacterium. RNAcentral describes it as "partial 16S ribosomal RNA". It matches the Rfam family "Bacterial small subunit ribosomal RNA", at positions 524 to 776 of the family's 1533-position model. The record is from RNAcentral.